RNAcentral lists this ribosomal RNA (471 nucleotides) under uncultured bacterium. Its description in RNAcentral is "bacterial SSU rRNA". It matches the Rfam family "Bacterial small subunit ribosomal RNA", at positions 28 to 523 of the family's 1533-position model. The record is from RNAcentral.
GAUGAACGCUGGCGGCGUGCCUAACACAUGCAAGUCGUACGAGCUCGAUCUUCGGAACGGGUUAGUGGCGCACGGGUGAGUAACACGUAGGUGACCUACCCCAGAGUGGGGGAUAACUUCUCGAAAGAGAGGCUAAUACCGCAUACACUCGGUCAUUCAUUUGGCCGAGCAAAGCUCCGGCGCUUUGGGACGGGCCUGCGUCCGAUUAGCUAGUUGGUAGGGUAAUGGCUUACCAAGGCUUUGAUCGGUAGCUGGUCUGAGAGGACGAUCAGCCACACUGGCACUGACACACGGGCCAGACUCCUACGGGAGGCAGCAGUGAGGAAUAUUGGGCAAUGGGCGAAAGCCUGACCCAGCAACGCCGCGUGAGGGAUGAAGGCCUUCGGGUUGUAAACCUCUUUCUGGGAGAAGAGACAAGGACGGUAUCCCAGGAAUAAGUCUCGGCUAACUACGUGCCAGCAGCCGCGGUAA